UAGAGGAAGUAAAAGUCGUAACAAGGUUUCCGUAGGUGAACCUGCGGAAGGAUCAUUACCGAGUGAGGGCCCUCUGGGUCCAACCUCCCACCCGUGUUUAUUUUACCUUGUUGCUUCGGCGGGCCCGCCUUAACUGGCCGCCGGGGGGCUUACGCCCCCGGGCCCGCGCCCGCCGAAGACACCCUCGAACUCUGUCUGAAGAUUGUAGUCUGAGUGAAAAUAUAAAUUAUUUAAAACUUUCAACAACGGAUCUCUUGGUUCCGGCAUCGAUGAAGAACGCAGCGAAAUGCGAUACGUAAUGUGAAUUGCAAAUUCAGUGAAUCAUCGAGUCUUUGAACGCACAUUGCGCCCCCUGGUAUUCCGGGGGGCAUGCCUGUCCGAGCGUCAUUUCUGCCCUCAAGCACGGCUUGUGUGUUGGGCCCCGUCCUCCGAUCCCGGGGGACGGGCCCGAAAGGCAGCGGCGGCACCGCGUCCGGUCCUCGAGCGUAUGGGGCUUUGUCACCCGCUCUGUAGGCCCGGCCGGCGCUUGCCGAUCAACCCAAAUUUUUAUCCAGGUUGACCUCGGAUCAGGUAGGGAUACCCGCUGAACUUAAGCAUAUCAAUAA
RNAcentral lists this unclassified non-coding RNA (605 nucleotides) under Penicillium sp. F0210-26Y1. Its description in RNAcentral is "sequence contains ITS1, 5.8S rRNA gene and ITS2". The stretch from base 235 to 387 matches the Rfam family "5.8S ribosomal RNA". Lineage: Eukaryota; Fungi; Ascomycota; Eurotiomycetes; Eurotiales; Aspergillaceae. The record is from RNAcentral.